AUUUACGCAUGCAUAGUCCGUCAUCUGCUGCCAUGUGACAAGCAGUUCUGCAGGUGCACUUUAUGGCCCAUUCUCUACCAUGGUUCUUGCUCCUCCUUGGUCUUUUCAUAGGGUCAGGAACACUGGGAGAGGAUACAGUGGGGAAGAUAUCCUUGGGGAGUUGGCCACUUGGGCCCUGGAGGUCCCAGCAGAGCAAGAGGUAGAAAGUGUUACAUGGAGCUCUUGAGAGCGUGUUGCUGUUUUACAACAAGGACGAACAGGCAAACCAGUUCUGGUUCCUGAGACUCAGGGACCCGACAGUGGAUGACUGAGCAUUCCCCACCACAGCUACUCUCUUCAGAUCAGCCCCCUGAGGCUGCAGGACUAUAAGCCUAUCAGCCUGGGUAACUCUGCAUACUUCCUCAAUCAUUAUCACCAGGGAUUUCACCCUGCUUGUCUAUGAUAAGGAGGGCUGGAGGGCCCCACAUUUGAAAUUGAGCUUUCCUCUACCCUAUUUGGCCAGACCAGAGCCUUCUCAUAGCUCAAGCUUUCCCUUCUUGGUUCAGAGAGGCUGCAGGAGCUGAACGUCUUUGCAGCUCCCAGAUCAUGAAGGAUGGGACCUGCUUCAUCACCCGGCCUGCUCCCUGGAACAGGCUGGAGAGAAUGUGCAGAACAGCUGGGAGCCUCCCAGUCAUGGGGCAGUUGUGUCCCAUGGGGGGAUCACUCUCAGUGUCCCCUGGAUAUCUGGGGAAAGUGAGAGCUACCACUGCACUGCCAGGAACCCCAUCAGCCAGAGCUCCAGCUCUGUCCUUACCAGACCCCUUUGCUCAGAUACAAUGAAGAAGAGGUCCAGGUCAAUUUCUACCCUUCAUGUAAAUCACUGUUACAAUCAUCACAACCUGCACCUGACUAGCUUUUCGGCCAUUUCGUCUUCCAGUCAGCCCUGGGAAAUGACUUUGGGAGAGUUCUGUAUUUUGUUGUACAAAGACAACAUUGAAUGUGUUCUGUUAUGGGCUUUUUGUGUCUGUGCUCUCCACUGAACUGUGAGAAAAACACAUUCUUACUGUUCUCUGCAUCCUAAUACACAACAAGUAAUAAGUAUCAAAAAAUGUGGGUCUGACAAGUAUUUAAAAAGCAUCUGCGCUGGGUGAUAUGGGACACAUGGAGACAUGAUAAUUGGCUGUAGACGUUCACAGUCUCCUUCUCUCUCUACGGGGCCUGAUGGACAUUUCAGCUCCACCCCCACAUUCGGCUUCCUGAAGGGGCCUCCAGCCCACCCAUGCCUCUGACUUGUCCUUCAAAAUCAUUUUCCCUGUUUCUCUGUCUUCCUCUCUUCCUUUUCUCCCAGUUCCUAACCUGUGGUCAUUGUUCAUUCAGCCUCCUUUCUACCCCACUCCCUGAGGAAAGAAUUUCUUCCUUUUUUGAUUCUGGGAGUUUUGGGGAUUGAACAGAUUUCACCUGGACAUGUGGAGAAGCCAAGAAGAGAAGUUUGAGAUGGCGGCCAUCCUGUGAGACACAGAGUUAAAGAAGUUCGCAUGUGGAAUGUUGCCUGAGGCCAGCAUUUCCUGGUGUGAGAGAAGGACAUUGACAGUGAUUAAGGCAUAAACCCCAUUUCAUGUGCAAACUUAGUUCAAAAUUAUCAGGAAACUGCUACAUGUCUUCUGUUUAAAAUAAUCUGUUUAUGUUUUGUCGAAGUGUGUAUUUAAGUGUUCAGAAAAAAAGGAGCUUAUUUAUUAAAGAAAAAUUGAAUGGAACAUAAAAACAUUG
Molecule: long non-coding RNA, 1746 nt
Organism: Symphalangus syndactylus (siamang)
Lineage: Eukaryota; Metazoa; Chordata; Mammalia; Primates; Hylobatidae
Source: RefSeq, a predicted model, not a curated record